AGUGAACGCUGGCGGUAGGCCUAACACAUGCAAGUCGAACGGCAGCACAGUAAGAGCUUGCUCUUACGGGUGGCGAGUGGCGGACGGGUGAGGAAUACAUCGGAAUCUACUUUUUCGUGGGGGAUAACGUAGGGAAACUUACGCUAAUACCGCAUACGACCUACGGGUGAAAGCAGGGGAUCUUCGGACCUUGCGCGAUUGAAUGAGCCGAUGUCGGAUUAGCUAGUUGGCGGGGUAAAGGCCCACCAAGGCGACGAUCCGUAGCUGGUCUGAGAGGAUGAUCAGCCACACUGGAGCUGAGACACGGUCCAGACUCCUGCGGGAGGCAGCAGUGGGGAAUAUUAGACAAUGGGCGCAAGCCUGAUCCAGCCAUACCGCGUGGGUGAAGAAGGCCUUCGGGUUGUAAAGCCCUUUUGUUGGGAAAGAAAAGCAGCAGGUUAAUACCCCGCUGUUCUGACGGUACCCAAAGAAUAAGCACCGGCUAACUUCGUG
RNAcentral lists this ribosomal RNA (492 nucleotides) under uncultured bacterium. Its description in RNAcentral is "partial 16S ribosomal RNA". It matches the Rfam family "Bacterial small subunit ribosomal RNA", at positions 29 to 507 of the family's 1533-position model. The record is from RNAcentral.